AGUGAACGCUGGCGGUAGGCCUAACACAUGCAAGUCGAACGGCAGCACAGUAAGAGCUUGCUCUUACGGGUGGCGAGUGGCGGACGGGUGAGGAAUACAUCAGAAUCUACUUUUUCGUGGGGGAUAACGAAGGGAAACUUACGCUAAUACCGCAUACGACCUACGGGUGAAAGCAGGGGAUCUUCGGACCUUGCGCGAUUGAAUGAGCCGAUGUCGGAUUAGCUAGUUGGCGGGGUAAAGGCCCACCAAGGCGACGAUCCGUAGCUGGUCUGAGAGGAUGAUCAGCCACACUGGAACUGAGACACGGUCCAGACUCCUACGGGAGGCAGCAGUGGGGAAUAUUGGACAAUGGGCGCAAGCCUGAUCCAGCCAUACCGCGUGGGUGAAGAAGGCCUUCGGGUUGUAAAGCCCUUUUGUUGGGAAAGAAAAGCAGCAGGUUAAUACCCCGCUGUUCUGACGGUACCCAAAGAAUAAGCACCGGCUAACUUCGUG
This 492-nucleotide ribosomal RNA is filed under the name uncultured bacterium. RNAcentral's name for it is "partial 16S ribosomal RNA". It matches the Rfam family "Bacterial small subunit ribosomal RNA", at positions 29 to 507 of the family's 1533-position model. The record is from RNAcentral.